Molecule: ribosomal RNA, 249 nt
Filed under: uncultured bacterium
Lineage: Bacteria
Description: partial 16S ribosomal RNA
Rfam family: Bacterial small subunit ribosomal RNA
Source: RNAcentral
UGGGGAAUAUUGCACAAUGGGCGCAAGCCUGAUGCAGCCAUGCCGCGUGUGUGAAGAAGGCCUUCGGGUUGUAAAGCACUUUCAGCGAGGAGGAAGGGUAGUGUGUUAAUAGCACAUUGCAUUGACGUUACUCGCAGAAGAAGCACCGGCUAACUCCGUGCCAGCAGCCGCGGUAAUACGGAGGGUGCAAGCGUUAAUCGGAAUUACUGGGCGUAAAGCGCACGCAGGCGGUUUGUUAAGUCAGAUGUG